Molecule: small nuclear RNA, 104 nt
Organism: Fukomys damarensis (Damara mole-rat)
Lineage: Eukaryota; Metazoa; Chordata; Mammalia; Rodentia; Bathyergidae
Source: Ensembl
GUGCUCACUUUGGCAGCACAUAUACUAAAACUGGAACGAUACAGAAAUUAGCAUGACCCCUGUGCAAGGAUGACAUGCAAACUCACGAAGCAUUCCAUAUUUUU